AGAGUUUGUAUCCUGGCUCAGGAUAAACGACUGGCGGCGUGCCUAACACAUGCAAGUACGAACGAAUCCCGCAAGGGAGAGUGGCGGAAGGGUGAGUAACACGUGGGAAGUCUACCUCCUCGCAGGGAACAACCUCUCGAAAGAGAGGCUAAUACCCAAAAGGGUCAGAAAUGAUCAGAGUCGAAAGGCGUGAGGAGAGGAGCCCGCGGCCCAUCAGCUAGUUGGUGAGGUAAUGGCUUACCAAGGCUACGACGGGUAGGGGAUCUGAGAGGAUGUCCCCCACACUGGAACUGAAACACGGUCCAGACGCCUACGGGUGGCAGCAGUGAGGAAUAUUGGACAAUGGGCGAAAGCCCGAUCCAGCAACGCCGCGUGGAGGAUGAAGGCCUUCGGGUCGUAAACUUCUUUAGAGGGAGACGAGAAAGGACGGUAUCCCUAGAAUAAGCGACGGCAAACUACGUG
This 462-nucleotide ribosomal RNA is filed under the name uncultured bacterium. Its description in RNAcentral is "bacterial SSU rRNA". It matches the Rfam family "Bacterial small subunit ribosomal RNA", at positions 8 to 507 of the family's 1533-position model. The record is from RNAcentral.